Molecule: long non-coding RNA, 607 nt
Filed under: Nicotiana tabacum (common tobacco)
Lineage: Eukaryota; Viridiplantae; Streptophyta; Magnoliopsida; Solanales; Solanaceae
Description: long non-coding RNA (NTAB_LNC009358)
Source: RNAcentral
GACUCUAAAAAAGACACAACAUCAGAGAGGGAAAGUGCUGAUAAUUGUGAGCCUUCUUCUAAGAAAUUUUGAGUACACAUCUUGGACUCUAGAAAUACACAUCUUUUACAUACUCUAUCACACUUCUGCUAGGCAUUUUUACACACUAUUAAAUACACUUUUAGGAGUAAAAAUCAGCAGCUGAACUUAAAGAAAGCAAGCUGAAAUUGUGAGCUUUAUGAGUACUUCUUAGAGUGAAAACUCUUUUCAAAAAGAAUAAGUCUUUCAGAGUUUAUUCCGGGUUUCUUCUUUAAGGUUUUGGGGCUGUCUGGAUACAAAUUUGCUGUUGUUGUUGCUCAUUUUCGUUCCUGUUUUUCUGCUAUUUUGCUAUUGUUUCUGCCCAUCUCAUUGCUUUAUUUUCUUCCUGCUAUCCAGGUAAUUCUCUUAAAGUGCUACUGUAAUUUUGGCUCAAGAAUGAAUGGAGACGAAGCAAUUUGAGUUCUCUUCAGCUUAAUCUAAGCUUUUAAAAGCAUUCUGUUUCUUGUAAAGUUUUGUAUGUGAGCAUAUAUAAUAAAUAGUUGAUUUGUUAUUGUGACUCACUGUCACCUUUUUUUUUUUUGUGAAAAAU